This 464-nucleotide ribosomal RNA is filed under the name uncultured Klebsiella sp. RNAcentral describes it as "bacterial SSU rRNA". It matches the Rfam family "Bacterial small subunit ribosomal RNA", at positions 338 to 795 of the family's 1533-position model. Lineage: Bacteria; Pseudomonadati; Pseudomonadota; Gammaproteobacteria; Enterobacterales; Enterobacteriaceae. The record is from RNAcentral.
CCUACGGGUGGCAGCAGUGGGGAAUAUUGCACAAUGGGCGCAAGCCUGAUGCAGCCAUGCCGCGUGUGUGAAGAAGGCCUUCGGGUUGUAAAGCACUUUCAGCGGGGAGGAAGGCGUUAAGGUUAAUACCUUGGCGAUUGACGUUACCCGCAGAAGAAGCACCGGCUAACUCCGUGCCAGCAGCCGCGGUAAUACGGAGGGUGCAAGCGUUAAUCGGAAUUACUGGGCGUAAAGCGCACGCAGGCGGUCUGUCAAGUCGGAUGUGAAAUCCCCGGGCUCAACCUGGGAACUGCAUUCGAAACUGGCAGGCUAGAGUCUUGUAGAGGGGGGUAGAAUUCCAGGUGUAGCGGUGAAAUGCGUAGAGAUCUGGAGGAAUACCGGUGGCGAAGGCGGCCCCCUGGACAAAGACUGACGCUCAGGUGCGAAAGCGUGGGGAGCAAACAGGAUUAGAUACCCCGGUAGUC